AAGAUUAAGCCAUGCAUGUCUAAGUAUAAGCAAUUAUACAGCGAAACUGCGAAUGGCUCAUUAUAUAAGUUAUCGUUUAUUUGAUAGUGCCUUACUACUUGGAUAACCGUGGUAAUUCUAGAGCUAAUACAUGCUACAAGCCCUGACUUCGGAAGGGGCGUAUUUAUUAGAUUAAAAACCAACGCCCUCUGGGCUCCUUGGUGAAUCAUGAUAACUUCACGAAUCGCAC
RNAcentral lists this ribosomal RNA (229 nucleotides) under uncultured fungus. Its description in RNAcentral is "partial 18S ribosomal RNA". It matches the Rfam family "Eukaryotic small subunit ribosomal RNA", at positions 40 to 274 of the family's 1831-position model. Lineage: Eukaryota; Fungi. The record is from RNAcentral.